This 497-nucleotide ribosomal RNA is filed under the name uncultured bacterium. RNAcentral's name for it is "partial 16S ribosomal RNA". It matches the Rfam family "Bacterial small subunit ribosomal RNA", at positions 899 to 1397 of the family's 1533-position model. The record is from RNAcentral.
ACUCAAAGGAAUUGACGGGGGCCCGCACAAGCGGUGGAGCAUGUGGUUUAAUUCGACGCUACGCGCAGAACCUUACCUGGGCUAAAUCCAUUCGGAUUCGAUUGAAAGGUUGAAGUGCCCUUCGGGGAACGAAUGAGAAGGUGCUGCAUGGCUGUCGUCAGCUCGUGUCGUGAGAUGUUGGGUUAAGUCCCGCAACGAGCGCAACCCUUAUCGUCUGUUGCCAGCAUUAGGUUGGGAACUCAGGCGAGACUGCCGGCCAAAACCGGAGGAAGGUGGGGAUGACGUCAAGUCCUCAUGGCCCUUAUGUCCAGGGCUACACACGUGCUACAAUGGCGAGUACAAAGAGUUGCGAGACCGCGAGGUGGAGCUAAUCUCAAAAAACUCGUCUCAGUUCGGAUUGGAGUCUGCAACUCGACUCCAUGAAGCUGGAAUCGCUAGUAAUCGGAGAUCAGCACGCUCCGGUGAAUACGUUCCCGGGCCUUGUACACACCGCCCGU